RNAcentral lists this ribosomal RNA (497 nucleotides) under uncultured bacterium. RNAcentral describes it as "partial 16S ribosomal RNA". It matches the Rfam family "Bacterial small subunit ribosomal RNA", at positions 28 to 507 of the family's 1533-position model. The record is from RNAcentral.
GAUGAACGCUGGCGGCGUGCCUAAUACAUGCAAGUCGAGCGAACAGACGAGGAGCUUGCUCCUCUGACGUUAGCGGCGGACGUGUGAGUAACACGUGGAUAACCUACCUAUAAGACUGUGAUAACUUCGGGAAACCGGUGCUAAUACCUGAUAAUAUAUUGAACCGCAUGGUUCAAUAGUGAAAGACGGUUUUGCUGUCACUUAUAGAUGGAUCCGCGCCGCAUUAGCUAGUUGGUAAGGCAACGGCUUACCAAGGCGACGAUGCGUAGCCGACCUGAGAGGGUGAUCGGCCGCACUGGAACUGAGACACGGUCCAGACUCCUACGGGAGGCAGCAGUAGGGAAUCUUCCGCAAUGGGCGAAAGCCUGACGGAGCAACGCCGCGUGAGUGAUGAAGGUCUUCGGAUCGUAAAACUCUGUUAUUAGGGAAGAACAAAUGUGUAAGUAACUAUGCACGUCUUGACGGUACCUAAUCAGAAAGCCACGGCUAACUACGUG